UGGCAGGGAGGGACGCCGGAGGAGGAAGCAGGUGUGUGGAGGGGUCUCAUCCAGGCCUCAGGCUCCACCCAGCCCAGGAUCUCCCUCCAGGAUGUGCUGCGUCCCACCCCCAGGCCCACACAACUCAGAAACACCAGUCAACAAACCACUGAGGAGGGGCAGGUGCCGGGUGCACCAGGGACCGGCUGUGCAGGAGGCAAUUUAGGAUGAGAACCAGGGAAAACACGUCCCCAGCCAACUGGCCGCUGGGCCCAUGUUCUUCACAACGGAAACUGGAUCCGCACAGUCCAUGGAGACUCACAAAACAGCAUGACGUCACCCGCAGGGAGUAGUCAUUUCAGACACCUUCGCGGCCUUUUGUUCUAGAGCUAAGGGCUGUGACUCGCCUGUGGAGGUCGUCCUGCCCGCAGAGGAGGGGCUGGGGAGGGCCGGCCUGCUGGGUGGCGGCAGGGGGACUGGACAGCAGGCCGUGGUAGGAGGUCGCUGUGCUUCCUCUCCAACUGCGGAGCCGGCGGUGCGGCUCCGUGACACAGCUGUGACCGGGACAGCCCACCUGUCAGGGACACUGCCUUCUGUGUCCCUUCCCUUUGGGCCUCUGAUGCUCAGAGACGGCGGAGAGCACUGCCCCGCAGGGCAGAUGGCCUGGAUUCAGCCUGUCGGGCGUGCAAAGCUCCGGAGCCUGUUUCCUCCUCUGUAAACGUGGGGAGGGCGAACAAACUCCCAGCUCUGUGACCCU
This is a long non-coding RNA of Myotis daubentonii (Daubenton's bat), 736 nucleotides long. RefSeq lists it as uncharacterized. The transcript has 3 exons. Lineage: Eukaryota; Metazoa; Chordata; Mammalia; Chiroptera; Vespertilionidae. The record is from RefSeq and is a predicted model, not a curated record.